UACGUAGGGCGCAAGCGUUGUCCGGAAUUAUUGGGCGUAAAGAGCUCGUAGGCGGUUUGUCGCGUCUGUCGUGAAAGCUUGGGGCUUAACCCCAAGUCUGCGGUGGAUACGGGCAGGCUUGAGCUCGGUAGGGGAGACUGGAAUUCCUGGUGUAGCGGUGAAAUGCGCAGAUAUCAGGAGGAACACCGGUGGCGAAGGCGGGUCUCUGGGCCGAUACUGACGCUGAGGAGCGAAAGCGUGGGGAGCGAACAGG
RNAcentral lists this ribosomal RNA (253 nucleotides) under uncultured bacterium. Its description in RNAcentral is "partial 16S ribosomal RNA". It matches the Rfam family "Bacterial small subunit ribosomal RNA", at positions 524 to 776 of the family's 1533-position model. The record is from RNAcentral.